This 126-nucleotide ribosomal RNA is filed under the name Triticum aestivum (bread wheat). RNAcentral describes it as "partial small subunit ribosomal RNA". Lineage: Eukaryota; Viridiplantae; Streptophyta; Magnoliopsida; Poales; Poaceae. The record is from RNAcentral.
AUGGUGAAGUGGGCUGACAUUUGCUUGCCGAAGGACCGAGGUGGGUUGGGCAUCCCUGCAUCUCGCCGGAUGAACGUUGUGCUUAUGUUGUGUUGGGUUUGGCGGAUCUUGCGGGGAGAUGGUUGA